ACGGUCGCAAGACUAAAACUCAAAGGAAUUGACGGGGACCCGCACAAGCGGUGGAGCAUGUGGUUUAAUUCGAUGCAACGCGAAAAACCUUACCACUCCUUGACAUGGAGAUUAGAUCCUUCUUAACGGAAGGGCGCAGUUCGGCUGGAUCUCGCACAGGUGCUGCAUGGCUGUCGUCAGCUCGUGUCGUGAGAUGUUGGGUUAAGUCCCGCAACGAGCGUAACCCUCAUCCUUAGUUGCCAGCGGGUAAUGCCGGGCACUUUAAGGAAACUGCCGGUGGUAAACUGGAGGAAGGUGGGGAUGAUGUCAAGUCAGCACGGCCCUUAUGGGGUGGGCUACACACGUGCUACAAUGGUGACUACAAUAGGUUGCAAUGUCGCAAGGCUGAGCUAAUCCGUAAAAGUCAUCUCAGUUCGGAUUGUCCUCUGCAACUCGAGGGCAUGAAGUCGGAAUCGCUAGUAAUCGUGGAUCAUCAUGCCACGGUGAAUACGUUCUCGGGUCUUGUACACACUGCCCGUCACGCCAUGGGAAUUGGCUUAACUCGAAGCUGGUGCGCUAACCGAA
RNAcentral lists this ribosomal RNA (564 nucleotides) under Anaplasma phagocytophilum. Its description in RNAcentral is "bacterial SSU rRNA". It matches the Rfam family "Bacterial small subunit ribosomal RNA", at positions 882 to 1443 of the family's 1533-position model. The record is from RNAcentral. Lineage: Bacteria; Pseudomonadati; Pseudomonadota; Alphaproteobacteria; Rickettsiales; Anaplasmataceae.